Molecule: transfer RNA, 54 nt
Filed under: Pteropus alecto (black flying fox)
Lineage: Eukaryota; Metazoa; Chordata; Mammalia; Chiroptera; Pteropodidae
Also listed under: 1 other name
Rfam family: tRNA
About the family: Transfer RNA (tRNA) molecules are approximately 80 nucleotides in length. Their secondary structure includes four short double-helical elements and three loops (D, anti-codon, and T loops). Further hydrogen bonds mediate the characteristic L-shaped molecular structure. tRNAs have two regions of fundamental functional importance: the anti-codon, which is responsible for specific mRNA codon recognition, and the 3' end, to which the tRNAs corresponding amino acid is attached (by aminoacyl-tRNA synthetases). tRNAs cope with the degeneracy of the genetic code in two manners: having more than one tRNA (with a specific anti-codon) for a particular amino acid; and 'wobble' base-pairing, i.e. permitting non-standard base-pairing at the 3rd anti-codon position.
Source: Rfam by way of RNAcentral
GACUCCAUAGUGUAGUGGUUAGCACAUCUGCUUUGCACGCAGAAGGUAGAGCCA